Molecule: non-coding RNA, 82 nt
Organism: Echinostoma caproni
Lineage: Eukaryota; Metazoa; Platyhelminthes; Trematoda; Plagiorchiida; Echinostomatidae
Source: Rfam
GGCCUCGCAGCUCAACUGGUAGAGCAUGCGCGUACAAAUCGUAGGCGGCGUCCAUGCGUGGGUUCGAAUCCCACCGAGGCUA